UCCCUGGCAGUCUAGUGGUUAAGAUUUUGUGUUUCCAAUGCAGGAGGUUCAGAUUCAAUCCCUGAUCAGGGAA
Bos taurus (domestic cattle) is the source of this 73-nucleotide non-coding RNA. Lineage: Eukaryota; Metazoa; Chordata; Mammalia; Artiodactyla; Bovidae. The record is from Rfam.